Molecule: long non-coding RNA, 1761 nt
Filed under: Homo sapiens (human)
Lineage: Eukaryota; Metazoa; Chordata; Mammalia; Primates; Hominidae
Description: family with sequence similarity 95 member B1
Source: RNAcentral
GCUAAUGAAUGAAUGUGAUCAUUUAAAAGAAAGUCUCUUUCAGUAUGAGAGAGAGAAAACAGAAGGAGUAGUGGUUGUGAGACAACUUCAACAAGAAGUGGCUGACAGCGUAAAAAAAUUAACGACGUUAGAGUCUCCACUGGAAGGUAUAUCACGUUGUCACAUUAAUUUGGAUGAGACACAGGCCUCAAAUAAGAAAUUAUUUCAAGUGAAAAGUCAAAUAUAAGAAACUCCUGGAAAUGACAAUAAAUAUGUUAAAUGUAUUUGGAAAUGAAGACUUUGAUUGCCAUGGAGACUUAAAAACAGAUCAACUGAAAAUGGAUAUUCUGAUUAAGAAGCUAAAACAGAAGUUUGAUGAUCUUACGGCAGAGAAGGAAGCUUUAUCUUCAAAAUGUGUCAAUUUGGCUAAAGACAAUCAAGUUCUUCAACAGGAGUUUUUAUCUAUGAAAAAAGUACAACAGCAAUGUGAGAAACUUGAGGAGGAUAAAAAGAUGUUGAAAGAAGAAAUAUUAAAUCUUAAGACACAUAUGGAAAACAAUAGGGUAGAACUUAGUAAACUACAAGAAUAUAAAUUGGAGCUAGAUGAAAAGGCAGUGCAGGCAGUAGAAAAAUUAGAAGAAAUCCAUUUACAGGAACAAGCACAAUAUGAAAAACAAUUAGAGCAGUUAAACAAGGAUAAUAUGGCUUCACUAAAUAAAAAGGAACUCACACUUAAAGAUGUGGAAUGUAAAUUCUCAGAAAUGAAAACUGCUUAUGAAGAGGUUACAACCGAAUUAGAAGAAUAUAAGGAAGCCUUUGCAGCAGCAUUGAAAGCUAACAAUUCCAUGUCAAAAAAAUUAACAAAAUCAAAUAAGAAAAUAGCAGUGAUCAGCAUGAAGCUCCUUAUGGAGAAAGAGCAGAUGAAAUAUUUUCUCAGUGCUCUUCCUACAAGGCGAGACCCAGAGUCACCUUGUGUUGAAAAUCUUACUAGUAUAGGACUCAACAGAAAAUAUAUUCCCCAAACACCCAUAAGAAUUCCUAUUUCAAGCCCACAGACUUCAAAUAACUGCAAGAACUCUUAGACUGUGAUGGAGCUGGACUGUGUAGAACAAAUAACUAGAGAAACAAAGAGAAUUGUUGCUGUGUUGAACACUUGCUCCCGUCUACUUACUUCUCUAUAAUCCACUGCCAUGGAAUGAGUGAUUUUUCUUAGAAGCAGAGGUGGAGCCACUGAGGAAGCACAGGCGAGCCCUCCCCAGCACGUGCUCACUGGUCCCCAACAGAACAACCGCUGCCGCAUCCAUGAGGCUCCCAUUGUGGUGGGUUGUGUCACCCCACAAUGUCACUGUUGCUGAGCCCCCAUCGCCUCUGUGUUGUGGAGCAGUUAGAGACACACUGUGGUGUCUGAGUGGCUCUGCGUGAAGGACCGUUUUCUAGGUGAGAGGCACAUCUCAACACAGCUGACUGAUCAGACUCAGCCGUUUUGCACACCCUGGUCAGAAUGAAACAUUCCUUGGGAACUCGGGCCGUGAGAAGCAUCCUUCCUGAUCACCUGACUGUAGAAACAUCCUUAUCGCACCCUCCCGGGCAAAGGCCCAACAGCCUGACUGCAGGAACAUCCUUGCCAUAUCCUGCCGGGCAGCAAGCUCUACCGCCCACACCCCUCCUUCCCAGUCCCAUGAUCACCCCAGCCUGUGAGAGGCAGUUGGUGCUGGCAGUAAGCUGGUUUCCUCCUCUGCAGGGUUUUGCUAGUAAUAAAGGUGUUGCUGUUGAAGCCGUCAA